UGGGGAAUUUUGGACAAUGGGCGCAAGCCUGAUCCAGCCAUGCCGCGUGAGUGAUGAAGGCCCUAGGGUUGUAAAGCUCUUUCACCGGUGAAGAUAAUGACGGUAACCGGAGAAGAAGCCUCGGCUAACUUCGUGCCAGCAGCCGCGGUAAUACGAAGGGGGCUAGCGUUGUUCGGAUUUACUGGGCGUAAAGCGCACGUAGGCGGACUAUUAAGUCAGGGGUGAAAUCCCGGGGCUCAACCCCGGAACUGCCUUUGAUACUGGUAGUCUAGAGUUCGAGAGAGGUGAGUGGAAUUCCGAGUGUAGAGGUGAAAUUCGUAGAUAUUCGGAGGAACACCAGUGGCGAAGGCGGCUCACUGGCUCGAUACUGACGCUGAGGUGCGAAAGCGUGGGGAGCAAACAGG
RNAcentral lists this ribosomal RNA (404 nucleotides) under Actinomycetes bacterium. RNAcentral's name for it is "Actinobacteria bacterium partial 16S ribosomal RNA". It matches the Rfam family "Bacterial small subunit ribosomal RNA", at positions 355 to 776 of the family's 1533-position model. The record is from RNAcentral. Lineage: Bacteria; Bacillati; Actinomycetota; Actinomycetes.